GCAAUCACAGCAAUCGUCACUUGGUGGAGCCAGAUUACUCUGCAUGUGAAUGUGCUUUACAAAUAGUUUUCAGAAAAGCUAUCAAAGACAGGAUUUAUAAAUAUUACUUUGGAGGAAGAUUAAAAACAAAUUGUGGGAUUUUAAUACAUCCUUUUAGGAAUUAGGAGCUUUACAUCUUUGCUUUUAAUUACUCUAGCACAGAAGAAGUAUCAGACUUGCUGGGCAAAGCAGAGGCUAUCUCUAUUUGCUGGAAUAAAAUAGGAAUACAGUGUUGGUAUAUUUGAUAAUGUACAUGCAAACCUGCAAGGAUGAAGCCAUAGCUUUCAAUUUUGCUCCCAUGUGUGUUUUUAGAACUACAUCUGCUUCUGUGACCUGUUGAGUCAGCUGACAGUGAGAUUUUCAAGCCUUCAAGAUACUGGCAAUCCUGGCACAGAGUGUUCUUAUAAAUUCUUCUAUCCUAGUAUAAAAAGAAAAUUACAACUAGUAAAAGUCAAGCAAGUAAAACCGUGGGAGUUUUAUCUCUGGAGAGAACUCAGUGGUGCAACUCUACCUUGAAACAGUUCAGUUGCCAGUACCUCAAAUGGUGAAAGGUAUCUUGGUUUAUCUGUGCUUAAUAUCUGCUCCAGUUAUAGAGUUUCACAGAGAUGUGUUGCUUUUC
This 658-nucleotide long non-coding RNA is filed under the name Cyanistes caeruleus (blue tit). RNAcentral describes it as "lncRNA (ENSCCEG00000006775.1)". Lineage: Eukaryota; Metazoa; Chordata; Aves; Passeriformes; Paridae. The record is from RNAcentral.